CCUGGCUCAGGACGAACGCUGGCGGCGUGCUUAACACAUGCAAGUCGAACGGAAAGGCCCUUUCGGGGGUACUCGAGUGGCGAACGGGUGAGUAACACGUGGGUGAUCUGCCCUGCACUUUGGGAUAAGCCUGGGAAACUGGGUCUAAUACCGAAUACACCUCAUGGGAUGCAUGUUUUGUGGGGGAAAGCUUUUGCGGUGUGGGAUGGGCCCGCGGCCUAUCAGCUUGUUGGUGAGGUUACGGCUCACCAAGGCGACGACGGGUAGCCGGCCUGAGAGGGUGUCCGGCCACACUGGGACUGAGAUACGGCCCAGACUCCUACGGGAGGCAGCAGUGGGGAAUAUUGCACAAUGGGCGCAAGCCUGAUGCAGCGACGCCGCGUGAGGGAUGACGGCCUUCGGGUUGUAAACCUCUUUCGCCAGGGACGAAGCGCGAGUGACGGUACCUGGAGAAGAAGCACCGGCCAACUACGUGCCAGCAGCCGCGGUAAUACGUAGGGUGCGAGCGUUGUCCGGAAUUACUGGGCGUAAAGAGCUCGUAGGUGGUUUGUCGCGUUGUUCGUGAAAACUCACAGCUUAACUGUGGGCGUGCGGGCGAUACGGGCAGACUUGAGUACUGCAGGGGAGACUGGAAUUCCUGGUGUAGCGGUGGAAUGCGCAGAUAUCAGGAGGAACACCGGUGGCGAAGGCGGGUCUCUGGGCAGUAACUGACGCUGAGGAGCGAAAGCGUGGGGAGCGAACAGGAUUAGAUACCCUGGUAGUCCACGCCGUAAACGGUGGGUACUAGGUGUGGGUUUCCUUCCUUGGGAUCCGUGCCGUAGCUAACGCAUUAAGUACCCCGCCUGGGGAGUACGGCCGCAAGGCUAAAACUCAAAGAAAUUGACGGGGGCCCGCACAAGCGGCGGAGCAUGUGGAUUAAUUCGAUGCAACGCGAAGAACCUUACCUGGGUUUGACAUGCACAGGACGUGCCUAGAGAUAGGUAUUCCCUUGUGGCCUGUGUGCAGGUGGUGCAUGGCUGUCGU
Molecule: ribosomal RNA, 1023 nt
Filed under: Mycobacterium sp.
Lineage: Bacteria; Bacillati; Actinomycetota; Actinomycetes; Mycobacteriales; Mycobacteriaceae
Description: bacterial SSU rRNA
Rfam family: Bacterial small subunit ribosomal RNA
Source: RNAcentral